GACUGCUAUGGUGGACAUGUGGUUAAUGCAUCCACCUCGGAAGCAAGAGGUCAUGGGUUCAAACCCCAGCUUAGUCA
Non-coding RNA from Potamilus streckersoni, 77 nucleotides. The record is from the annotation of a GenBank genome assembly. NCBI's taxonomy places the organism in Eukaryota, Metazoa, Mollusca, Bivalvia, Unionida, Unionidae.